GCGUAAUUAGUUUAGUGGUAAAAUUCGCCUUUCCCAUGGGCGAGUCCUGGGUUCGAUUCCCAGAUUACGCA
Molecule: non-coding RNA, 71 nt
Organism: Fusarium torreyae
Lineage: Eukaryota; Fungi; Ascomycota; Sordariomycetes; Hypocreales; Nectriaceae
Source: the annotation of a GenBank genome assembly